GCUAUAUAGGAAAGAGCAGGUAGGACGAUACUGCAAUGUGAAGAAAUAAAUGUAAGCAUCAGGCUUCACGAAACUCCUUAAUAGCUGAAUAGAAAAUCAUUCAAUAGCAUAUAUGUUUCUUACAUGGCUGCAUUAUUUUGCUGUUUAUUUUUUUAAGGAGUAGACCCCGUCGAACUUUUUGUUGGUGUUACAUCUUACAGCACAAACAGUACGACCAAAUGCAACAAUACAUACGCUAGGAUUCAGAGGACAUUAAUUAUGGUCGGGUCUGCUGCAGAUUAUAUAGUCUAUGAAGUAUCGCGCUGCUCCUAAUUUCAAGCUAGAUUGUCUCACUCCAGGUUCUCUACUUUGUUGAUCUUUUGUUAUUUUACUUCCAUAUUAUGGUUCGUCAAUCUAUUUUGGAGCUUGCAAAAUCUUCAUAGUUGAACCUCAGUAAUUGGAUAGUAAUUCAAGAGAGAUGGAUUGCUUGUGAGAGAUUUAGUGCGUAAGCUACGUACGUUGGCAUUCAGGUUCUAAAAUCCCAGUUGCCUGUAGCUCAAAACCCAUCAAAUAUUGCGAGCUUUCCGUUGGUUACAUCCUGAUAAAUUUGCACUACUGAUAGGAUUUGGUCUGUUCCAUAGUUUGACACUUAAAGAAAAAUACAACAAAUUAUGUUGUACAAGAGCACAAAUUUUGCAUAGCUCACGGGAGUCCGCGUCAUAUUAUUCCUUUUCUUUACAUGGGGUUUGCUUUUCUUCCUUUCUCCUUUAAUUCUUUGUCUGCUCUUUGAUGUUCUGCCUGUGGAUUGGGGCUGCUGCCAGAGCAGCGGUAUGUGUUCUAUGUCGUGUAGCAUAUAUGGGUUGUGCAGCAUAUGUUUUUUUCUACAUAUUUCCUUGACACAUAGUUCUUCCCUGUUAUGUGUAGAUCUGCAGGCAGCAGGCAAGAUCAUUUGGUUCGUCGGUUUAGUAAGAACUUCCAUUGUUGAUUUCUCUUCCUAAUGUAAGCCUUGCUAUUGCAUUGGUUAGGUUUGUUCCUGUUUUGUAUACAGUUUUAAAUAAUUAGUGAUCUAGACUAAGAAGUGAGCUACAAACGAGAUGUUAGUUUUUCCCAGAUUACUAUGACGAACAGAUUUUCUUUUUCUACAUCCAUGGCCAGGAACAUGUAUUGUAUCCAAUACAAAAUGAAGCUCUAAAUAAUUGCUAAAUCUCAGAAGUGUUAGACUAAAAAUGAUUCAUCAACUGAAUGCAUUUUAGUGUAAUAACUUAAUGGUUGGAAACAUCACGAGUUUUAGUAUGAUAAAACUAAAAUCUGAAUGGAAUCAUGAAUGUAUAUCAGUUUGUUGCACAAAUUAUGCAGCAACGCCAAAGCUGUAAUUGAUGGUAUUUUAUCUUGCAUAUACGAGUUACAGGCAUUAGUCUUAUUCUUUUCUACGAAGACUACCGUAUAUGGUUUGAAUCAUUGUUAUAUAUUUUCUUCUGAUGCAAGCCUGUAUCUACAGUUCCAUUCUCAUUUCCUUCUUUCUUUUUUAUUCUGCAGGGCACAUGUCUCCAUAGUACACUUACAAUUAACUUCUUGGGUAUAUCAUUGUUGUUGCCUCCUAAUUUGUGUGAUGCAAAAAGUUGUGCAUUUUGUGUGUGGAUCUGAGAUGCCUAGGAAGGUUGGGAAGUGAACUUGUUACCUCUGUUUAAUUCAAUGGCAUGUUGAACUUGAUGCACCUCUUGGCCCAUGGCUUUUCCCCCGAAAGUUUGGAAGUGCGAAUGUUUCUGGGUAUGUUGAUCACCACUAAUUUCUAUAGAAAGGAGCCGAAUGGGAGUGAGUAAGCUCCUUUUCACUUGCUG
RNAcentral lists this long non-coding RNA (1817 nucleotides) under Triticum aestivum (bread wheat). Its description in RNAcentral is "long non-coding RNA (TAES_LNC004879)". Lineage: Eukaryota; Viridiplantae; Streptophyta; Magnoliopsida; Poales; Poaceae. The record is from RNAcentral.